Molecule: ribosomal RNA, 452 nt
Filed under: uncultured bacterium
Lineage: Bacteria
Description: SSU rRNA
Rfam family: Bacterial small subunit ribosomal RNA
Source: RNAcentral
AGGAUGAACGCUGGCGGUGUGCCUAAUACAUGCAAGUCGUACGGAAAGGCCCUUCGGGGUACUCGAGUGGCGGACGGCUGAGUAACGCGUGGGAACGUACCCUAAAGUGAGGAAUAACUGCCCGAAAGGGUGGCUAAUGCCGCAUAUGCUCUUCGGAGUAAAGCUUCGGCGCUUUGGGAGCGGCCCGCGUCCGAUUAGCUUGUUGGUAAGGUAAUGGCUUACCAAGGCGACGAUCGGUAGCUGGUCUGAGAGGAUGAUCAGCCAGACUGGGACUGAGAACGGCCCAGACUCCUACGGGAGGCAGCAGUAGGGAAUUUCCACAAUGGGCGAAAGCCUGAUGGAGCAACACCGCGUGCAGGACGAAGGCCCUCGGGUCGUAAACUGCUUUUAUUUGUGACGAUUAUGACGGUAGCAGAUGAAUAAGGAUCGGCUAACUCCGCGCCAGCAGCCGC